UGACGCUGGUGGCAUGCUUAACACAUGCAAGUCGAACGGUAACAGGUCUUCGGAUGCUGACGAGUGGCGGACGGGUGAGUAACGCGUAGGAAUCUGCCCAUCUGUGGGGGAUACCAGUUGGAAACGACUGUUAAUACCGCAUAAUAUCUGCGGAUUAAAGGUGGCCUUUGUGCUGCCGCAGAUGGAUGAGCCUGCGUUGGAUUAGCUAGUUGGUAGGGUAAGGGCCUACCAAGGCUACGAUCCAUAGCUGAUUUGAGAGGAUGAUCAGCCACAUUGGGACUGAGACACGGCCCAAACUCCUACGGGAGGCAGCAGUGGGGAAUAUUGGACAAUGGGGGAAACCCUGAUCCAGCAAUGCCAUGUGUGUGAAGAAGGCUCUAGGGUUGUAAAGCACUUUAGUUGGGGAGGAAAGCCUAUAAGUUAAUAGCUUGUAGGAAGGACGUUACCCAAAGAAUAAGGACCGGCUAACUCCGUGCCAGCAGCCGCGGUAAUACGGGGGGUCCGAGCGUUAAUCGGAAUUACUGGGCGUAAAGGGUCUGUAGGUGGUUUGUUAAGUCAGAUGUGAAAGCCCAGGGCUCAACCUUGGAACUGCAUUUGAUACUGGCAAACUAGAGUAUGGUAGAGGAAUGGGGAAUUUCUGGUGUAGCGGUGAAAUGCGUAGAGAUCAGAAGGAACACCAAUGGCGAAGGCAACAUUCUGGAUCAAUACUGACACUGAGGGACGAAAGCGUGGGGAUCAAACAGGAUUAGAUACCCUGGUAGUCCACGCUGUAAACGAUGAGUACUAGCUGUUGGAUUCGGUGUAAAGGAUCUAGUGGCGCAGCUAACGCGUUAAGUACUCCGCCUGGGGACUACGGCCGCAAGGCUAAAACUCAAAGGAAUUGACGGGGACCCGCACAAGCGGUGGAGCAUGUGGUUUAAUUCGAUGCAACGCGAAGAACCUUACCUGGUCUUGACAUCCUGCGAACUUUCUAGAGAUAGAUUGGUGCCUUCGGGAACGCAGUGACAGGUGCUGCACGGCUGUCGUCAGCUCGUGUUGUGAAAUGUUGGGUUAAGUCCCGCAACGAGCGCAACCCCUAUUGAUAGUUACCAUCAUUAAGUUGGGUACUCUAUUGAGACUGCCGCUGACAAGGCGGAGGAAGGUGGGGACGACGUCAAGUCAUCAUGGCCCUUACGACCAGGGCUACACACGUGCUACAAUGGGUAUUACAGAGGGCUGCGAAGGUGCGAGCUGGAGCGAAACUCAGAAAGGUACUCUUAGUCCGGAUUGCAGUCUGCAACUCGACUGCAUGAAGUCGGAAUCGCUAGUAAUCGCAGGUCAGAAUACUGCGGUGAAUACGUUCCCGGGUCUUGUACACACCGCCCGUCACACCAUGGGAGUGGGUUGCUCCAGAAGUAGAUAGUUUAACGAAUGGGCGUUUACCACGGAGUGAUUCAUGACUGGGGUGAAGUCGUAACAAGGUAGCCGUAGGGGAACCUGCGGCUGGAUCACCUCCUU
This 1497-nucleotide ribosomal RNA is filed under the name Francisella noatunensis subsp. noatunensis. RNAcentral's name for it is "bacterial SSU rRNA". It matches the Rfam family "Bacterial small subunit ribosomal RNA". Lineage: Bacteria; Pseudomonadati; Pseudomonadota; Gammaproteobacteria; Thiotrichales; Francisellaceae. The record is from RNAcentral.